AAGUCGUAACAAGGUUUCCGUAGGUGAACCUGCGGAAGGAUCAUUAACACGUAUCCUAACGUUUAACCACCCGUGCACCUUCAUUGUAACUCUGCGUUAACACGAAUUGCCUUUGCGGAAUAACGAUUCGGGAUCAUAACUUCACACGAGGUGCUACCGAGAAUGCACUUUAGCGGGUGUGUUUUUGGCGGACCUUGAUUUCUUGACUUCGCGCCUCGUAUCCAGGUUGCCGUAGACUUCACCUUUGGUGGUUGUCGAGUACGAAUUGUUUACUCGCAAGGUUUCGGGUUGGCGCAUCCCCGCGUGUCUGGCCCACCGCGGAACAACCUCACUAGAAAACCUGACCGAUGCGCCGGAUCCUCGCGGGUUCAGGCGUCGGAAACCCCGAACAACUGUUAGCAAUGGAUAUCUUGGCUCUC
RNAcentral lists this unclassified non-coding RNA (419 nucleotides) under fungal sp. RNAcentral's name for it is "partial internal transcribed spacer region". The stretch from base 1 to 46 matches the Rfam family "Eukaryotic small subunit ribosomal RNA", at positions 1786 to 1831 of the family's 1831-position model. Lineage: Eukaryota; Fungi. The record is from RNAcentral.